GUGGGUAUAGCUCGGUAGUAGAGAGCUUGCCUAACAUGUAUGAGGCCCUGGGUUCAAUCCCCAGUACCACA
This 71-nucleotide transfer RNA is filed under the name Ictidomys tridecemlineatus (thirteen-lined ground squirrel). Its description in RNAcentral is "Spermophilus tridecemlineatus (thirteen-lined ground squirrel) tRNA". It matches the Rfam family "tRNA". From Rfam's summary of the family: Transfer RNA (tRNA) molecules are approximately 80 nucleotides in length. Their secondary structure includes four short double-helical elements and three loops (D, anti-codon, and T loops). The record is from Rfam by way of RNAcentral. Lineage: Eukaryota; Metazoa; Chordata; Mammalia; Rodentia; Sciuridae.